Molecule: ribosomal RNA, 492 nt
Filed under: uncultured bacterium
Lineage: Bacteria
Description: partial 16S ribosomal RNA
Rfam family: Bacterial small subunit ribosomal RNA
Source: RNAcentral
AGUGAACGCUGGCGGUAGGCCUAACACAUGCAAGUCGAACGGCAGCACAGUAAGAGCUUGCUCUUACGGGUGGCGAGUGGCGGACGGGUGAGGAAUACAUCGGAAUCUACUUUUUCGUGGGGGAUAACGUAGGGAAACUUACGCUAAUACCGCAUACGACCUACGGGUGAAAGCAGGGGAUCUUCGGACCUUGCGCGAUUGAAUGAGCCGAUGUCGGAUUAGCUAGUUGGCGGGGUAAAGGCCCACCAAGGCGACGAUCCGUAGCUGGUCUGAGAGGAUGAUCAGCCACACUGGAACUGAGACACGGUCCAGACUCCUACGGGAGGCAGAAGUGGGGAAUAUUGGACAAUGGGCGCAAGCCUGAUCCAGCCAUACCGCGUGGGUGAAGAAGGCCUUCGGGUUAUAAAGCCCUUUUGUUGGGAAAGAAAAGCAGCAGGUUAAUACCCCGCUGUUCUGACGGUACCCAAAGAAUAAGCACCGGCUAACUUCGUG